UAUAAUGGACUCCUUUCAUUCAACCAACCUCUUCAAGAAGAUCCUUACACUUUUCCAUCUUUUGGAAGUCCUUAUGGAAGUCAAGAUGUAAUUGCUCCUCUCUGGGCUGACUUUGAUGAAUAUGGAAUUAUUGCGUUUUACUAUCAGCAGUACACAUCUGGAAAUGUCCUCACACGAGCCACAGAAGAUAUCAGACGCUAUUACCCUGGUCUGAGCUUCAACGCUACUUGGGUCUUUGUAGCAACUUGGGACUAUGUUGAAACUACAGAUUUAAACACAUUUUUACAGCAUUCAGCCCCAUCAAUCUCGUUUCAAGCGGUUUUAAUUUCGGAUGGUGUCUCCUCCUUUACUCUGAUGAACUAUGGCAACAUGAGUGUGAUCAAUUAUCCAGUGGAGGCUGGAUAUGACACAAUAGGCUCCACACAUUACUUUGUCAUUCCUGGGUCAAACAAUGGCAACCUCAUCCCAAACCUCAAGUACUGUAUUCAAGUAAUGUAAACACUCCA
Paramisgurnus dabryanus is the source of this 506-nucleotide non-coding RNA. NCBI's taxonomy places the organism in Eukaryota, Metazoa, Chordata, Actinopteri, Cypriniformes, Cobitidae. The record is from RefSeq and is a predicted model, not a curated record.